GUUGCUCGGAUAAUCACACACCUCUUCGUGGUGAGCAGCAGGCAACGAUCUGUGAUCGGCAGAGAUGUGAUA
This 72-nucleotide ribozyme is filed under the name unclassified sequences. RNAcentral's name for it is "HDV ribozyme from F. prausnitzii". It matches the Rfam family "HDV ribozyme from F. prausnitzii". The record is from RNAcentral.